UCCCCUAGUAACGGCGAGUGAAGAGGGAAGAGCCCAAGAUUGAAAGCUGGCGUCUUUGGCGUCCGCUCUGUAAUCUCAAGAAGUGUUUUCCGCUUCGGACCAUGCCCAAGUCCUUUGGAAAAGGGCAUCAUAGAGGGUGAUAAUCCCGUACAUGGCAUGGAGCGCCCGAAGCAUUGUGAUACGCUUUCUACGAGUCGAGUUGUUUGGGAAUGCAGCUCAAAAUGGGUGGUAAAUGCCAUCUAAGGCUAAAUAUUGGGGAGAGACCGAUAGCGAACAAGUACAGUGAUGGAAAGAUGAAAAGAACUUUGAAAAGAGAGUUAAACAGUACGUGAAAUUGCCAAAAGGGAAGGGUAGGAGGUCAGAGAUGCGUCUUGGGAUUCAGCCUUGCUUUUUGCUUGGUGUUUUUCCCAAGUUGCAGGCCAACGUCGGUUUUGGGCACUGGAGAAGGGUGGAAGGAACGUGGCACCCCUCGGGGUGUGUUAUAGCCUUCCACUGGAUACAGCGACCGAGAUCGAGGACAGCAGCGUACUCGCAAGAGCGGGCCUUCGGGCACCUUUACGCUUAGGGCGUUGGUAUAAUGGCCUUCUACCACCCGUCUUGAAACACGGACCAAGGAGUCUAACAUGUAUGCGAGUCUUUGGGUGGCAAACCCAUAGGCGCAAUGAAAGUGAAUUCAGGUGGGAUCCGCAAGUGCACCAUCGACCGAUCCUCACGUCUUUCAAGUCGUGGAUUUGAGUAAGAGCAUACCUGUUGGGACCCGAAAGAUGGUGAACUAUGCCUGAAUAGGGUGAAGCCAGAGGAAACUCUGGUGGAGGCUCGUAGCGUCUGACGUGCAAAUCGAUCGUC
Molecule: ribosomal RNA, 846 nt
Filed under: Sporisorium vermiculum
Lineage: Eukaryota; Fungi; Basidiomycota; Ustilaginomycetes; Ustilaginales; Ustilaginaceae
Description: LSU rRNA
Rfam family: Eukaryotic large subunit ribosomal RNA
Source: RNAcentral